CUUGGGAAUUGCCAUUCGAUACUGGGUAAGCUAGAGUUUUGGGAGGNGGGGGGGUAGAAUUUCCAGGUGUAGCGGUGAAAUGCGUAGAGAUUUGGAGGAAUACCGAUGGGGGAAGGCAGCCAUCUGGCCUAAUACUGACGCUGAGGUACGAAAAGCAUGGGGAGCAAACAGGAUUAGAUACCCUGGUAGUUCCUGCCGUAAACGAUGUCUAAUAGCCGGUGGGUCCUUUGAGGCNUUAGUGGCGCAGGUAACGCGAUAAGUAGACCGCCUGGGGAGUACGGUCGCAAGACUAAAAAUCAAAUGAAUUGACGGGGGCCCGCACCAGCGGUGGAGCCUGUGGUUUAAUUUGAUGCAACGCGAAGAACCUUACCUUGUUCUGACCUUGUAAGAACUUUCCAGAGAUGGAUUGGUGCCUUUGGGAAAUUACAUACCGGUGGUGCAUGGGUGUUGUUAGGUUGUGUUGUGAGAUGUUGGGUUAAGUUCCGCAACGAGGGCAACCCUUUUCCUUAUUUGCCAGCGGGUUAAGCCGGGAACUCUAAGGAUACUGCCAGUGACAAACUGGAGGAAGGCGGGGACGACGUCAAGUCAUCAUGGCCCUUACGACCAGGGCUACACACGUGCUACAAUGGUCGGUACAAAGGGAUGCUACCUCGCGAUAGCAAGCUAAUCUCAAAAAGCCGAUCGUAGUCCGGAUUGGAGUCUGCAACUCGACUCCAUGAAGUCGGAAUCGCUAGUAAUUGCGGAUCAGAAUGCCGCGGUGAAUACGUUCCCGGGCCUUGUACACCACCCGCCCGUUCCCCCCCAUUGGGAAUUUGGUGGCA
This 821-nucleotide ribosomal RNA is filed under the name Acinetobacter johnsonii. RNAcentral describes it as "bacterial SSU rRNA". It matches the Rfam family "Bacterial small subunit ribosomal RNA", at positions 613 to 1533 of the family's 1533-position model. The record is from RNAcentral. Lineage: Bacteria; Pseudomonadati; Pseudomonadota; Gammaproteobacteria; Moraxellales; Moraxellaceae.